RNAcentral lists this ribosomal RNA (513 nucleotides) under uncultured Pediococcus sp. RNAcentral's name for it is "partial 16S ribosomal RNA". The record is from RNAcentral. Lineage: Bacteria; Bacillati; Bacillota; Bacilli; Lactobacillales; Lactobacillaceae.
CACGUAGUUAGCCGUGGCUUUCUGGUUAAAUACCGUCACUGGGUGAACAGUUACUCUCACCCACGUUCUUCUUUAACAACAGAGCUUUACGAGCCGAAACCCUUCUUCACUCACGCGGCGUUGCUCCAUCAGACUUGCGUCCAUUGUGGAAGAUUCCCUACUGCUGCCUCCCGUAGGAGUCUGGGCCGUGUCUCAGUCCCAAUGUGGCCGAUUACCCUCUCAGGUCGGCUACGCAUCAUCGCCUUGGUGAGCCGUUACCUCACCAACUAGCUAAUGCGCCGCGGGUCCAUCCAGAAGUGAUAGCAGAGCCAUCUUUUAAAAGAAAACCAGGCGGUUUUCUCUGUUAUACGGUAUUAGCAUCUGUUUCCAGGUGUUAUCCCCUGCUUCUGGGCAGGUUACCCACGUGUUACUCACCCGUCCGCCACUCACUUCGUGUUAAAAUCUCAUUCAGUGCAAGCACGUCAUAAUCAAUUAACGGAAGUUCGUUCGACUUGCAUGUAUUAGGCACGCCCG